GUGUUCGUUGAAAGGAGAGACGGUUGGCAUCUCCCCUGACAGGGACGGGAACGGCCUACGGGCUUUCCUGUUACACGCACGGUUAAGGCUCUCCGCUCUUGGGCGGAUCUUACCCAAUUUUUUU
This is a small nuclear RNA of Phoenix dactylifera (date palm), 124 nucleotides long. The record is from RefSeq and is a predicted model, not a curated record. NCBI's taxonomy places the organism in Eukaryota, Viridiplantae, Streptophyta, Magnoliopsida, Arecales, Arecaceae.